GAUGAACGCUGGCGGCGUGCCUAAUACAUGCAAGUCGAGCGAACAGAUGAGGAGCUUGCUCCUCUGACGUUAGCGGCGGACGGGUGAGUAACACGUGGAUAACCUACCUAUAAGACUGGGAUAACUUCGGGAAACCGGAGCUAAUACCGGAUAAUAUAUUGAACCGCAUGGUUCAAUAGUGAAAGACGGUUUUGCUGUCACUUAUAGAUGGAUCCGCGCCGCAUUAGCUAGUUGGUAAGGUAACGGCUUACCAAGGCAACGAUGCGUAGCCGACCUGAGAGGAUGAUCAGCCACACUGGAACUGAGACACGGUCCAGACUCCUACGGGAGGCAGCAGUGGGGAAUCUUCCGCAAUGGGCGAAAGCCUGACGGAGCAACGCCGCGUGAGUGAUGAAGGUCUUCGGGUCGUAAAACUCUGUUAUUAGGAAAGAACAAAUGUGUAAGUAACUAUGCACGUCUUGACGGUACCUAAUCAGAAAGCCACGGCUAACUACGUG
RNAcentral lists this ribosomal RNA (497 nucleotides) under uncultured bacterium. RNAcentral describes it as "partial 16S ribosomal RNA". It matches the Rfam family "Bacterial small subunit ribosomal RNA", at positions 28 to 507 of the family's 1533-position model. The record is from RNAcentral.